RNAcentral lists this ribosomal RNA (497 nucleotides) under uncultured bacterium. RNAcentral describes it as "partial 16S ribosomal RNA". It matches the Rfam family "Bacterial small subunit ribosomal RNA", at positions 28 to 507 of the family's 1533-position model. The record is from RNAcentral.
GAUGAACGCUGGCGGCGUGCCUAAUACAUGCAAGUCGAGCGAACAGACGAGGAGCUUGCUCCUCUUACGUUAGCGGCGGACGGGUGAGUAACACGUGGAUAACCUACCUAUAAGACUGGGAUAACUUCGGGAAACCGGAGCUAAUACCGGAUAACAUGUUGAACCGCAUGGUUCAACAGUGAAAGACGGUUUUGCUGUCACUUAUAGAUGGAUCCGCGCCGCAUUAGCUAGUUGGUAAGGUAACGGCUUACCAAGGCAACUAUGCGUAGCCGACCUGAGAGGGUGAUCGGCCACACUGGAACUGAGACACGGUCCAGACUCCUACGGGAGGCAGCAGUAGGGAAUCUUCCGCAAUGGGCGAAAGCCUGACGGAGCAACGCCGCGUGAGUGAAGAAGGUCUUCGGAUCGUAAAACUCUGUUAGUAGGGAAGAACAAAUGUGUAAGUAACUAUGCACGUCUUGACGGUACCUAAUCAGAAAGCAACGGCUAACUACGUG